UGGCUUAGAAGCAGCCAUCGUUUAAAGAAAGCGUAAUAGCUCACUGGUCUAAUGGCUCUGCGCCGAAAAUGUAACGGGGCUAAGCAUGGUACCGAAGCUUUGGCAAUCCCCUUUGGGGAUUGGGUAGGGGAGCGUUCGCUGCGGGCUGAAGGUGUGCCGGAAGGCAUGCUGGACUGCAGUGAAGUGAUUAUGCUGACAUGAGUAACGAUAAAAUAUGUGAAAAACAUAUUCGCCGAAAACCCGAGGUUUCCUGGGUAAAGGUAAUCUUCCCAGGGUUAGUCGGAUCCUAAGGUGAGGGUGAAAGCCGUAACCGAUGGAAAACAGGUUAAUAUUCCUGUACUUGUUGUGUAGCGCGAUGGAGGGACGCAGGAAGAUAGGCGGGCCGGGUGUUGGAUAUCCCGGUGCAAGCGUGUAGGAAUAUCCGGUAGGCAAAUCCGCCGGACGAAUCUGAGACGCGAGUCCGUGGGCGCAAGCCCUGAAGCCGUUGAGUCUAUGCUGCCUAGAAAAGCUCCUAAGUUUAUCCACAGCAAUCCGUACCGCAAACCAACUCAGGUGGGUGGGAUGAAUAAUCCAAGGCGCUCGAGAGAACUCUGGCCAAGGAACUCGGCAAAAUAACCCCGUAACUUCGGAAGAAGGGGUGCUCUCUAGGGUGACAUGUUUAACAUAUGAAGCCCCGGGGAGCCGCAGUGAAUUGGUGGUGGCGACUGUUUACUAAAAACAUAGGUCUGUGCGAAGUCCUAAAGACGACGUAUACGGACUGACGCCUGCCCGGUGCUGGAAGGUUAAAAGGAGGGGUCAGCGCAAGCAAAGCUCCGAAUUGAAGCCCCAGUAAACGGCGGCCGUAACUAUAACGGUCCUAAGGUAGCGAAAUUCCUUGUCGGGUAAGUUCCGACCUGCACGAAUGGCGUAACGAUCUCCACACUGUCUCGGCCAGAGACUCGGUGAAAUUGCAGUCGCGGUGAAAAUUCCGUGUACCCGCAGAAAGACGGAAAGACCCUGUGCACCUUUACUAUAGCUUGACAUUGGAUUUUGGGCCUGCAUGUGUAGGAUAGGUGGGAGGCUGUGAACCCUGUACGCCAGUAUGGGGGGAGCCAUCCUUGAAAUACCACCCUUGCAUGUUUAAGAUCCUAACUUCUUCCGGUUAUCCCGGAGAAAGACAGUGUCUGGCGGGUAGUUUGACUGGGGCGGUCGCCUCCUAAAGUGUAACGGAGGCAUGCAAAGGUUCCCUCAGCCUGAUCGGAAACCAGGCGCUGAGUGCAAACGCAUAAGGGAGCUUGACUGUAAGAGAGACAUCUCAAACAGGAACGAAAGUUGGCGUUAGUGAUCCGGUGGUCCCGAAUGGAAGGGCCAUCGCUCAUUGGAUAAAAGGUACGCCGGGGAUAACAGGCUGAUCGCAUCCAAGAGUUCACAUCGACGAUGCGGUUUGGCACCUCGAUGUCGGCUCAUCACAUCCUGGGGCUGAAGCAGGUCCCAAGGGUACGGCUGUUCGCCGUUUAAAGUGGUACGCGAGCUGGGUUUAAAACGUCGUGAGACAGUUUGGUCCCUAUCUUCUGUGGGCGAAGGAGAAUUGAGAGGGCCUGUCCCUAGUACGAGAGGACCGGGAUGGACGCACCCCUGGUGAUCCUGUUGUCGCGCCAGCGGCAUAGCAGGGUAGCUAUGUGCGGAAGGGAUAACCGCUGAAAGCAUCUAAGCGGGAAGCCUGCCUCAAGAUAAGUUCUCCCCUCGAAAGAGCUGAAGGGCCCGGGUAGACUACCCGGUCGAUAGGCUGGAGGUGUAAGCGCGGCGACGUGCUCAGCUGACCAGUACUAAUAGCCCGAGCGGCUUAUUU
Molecule: ribosomal RNA, 1828 nt
Filed under: human gut metagenome
Description: bacterial LSU rRNA
Rfam family: Bacterial large subunit ribosomal RNA
Source: RNAcentral